AUUCCAGCUGCUAUGUUGGUGUUGAUCACACCAAGAAUAAUUCGCCUCAGCAGGGUUUGGUGCCUGCCAAGAUCUCCCUGUGGAUACACUGCUUGUGAAGCUUUGGGUCCUGCUCUGUCGUUGUGUGAAUCUGGCCCCUGGAUUUCUUGGUUGUGGGUCUCUUUGGAGGGACUCUUGUGCAGGCCAAUGUCAGAUGCUGCCUGUGACUUGCCCUAGGCAGCCUGUCUGGAUCUGUCAGUGACCCACAGCUUGUGGCUCCCUCUUCUGGGCCUGGGUACAUUCACAGAAGACCAAGCUAUGCACCAAGGUUGGCUUUUACCAGCACCGGGUCUGGGGCAGGCCAGCGAAAGUCUCAAAGCACCCAGAGAUCCACCUCCACCUGCAGGCUGCCUGUCAGGUUCAGUCCCUGAAAGAGCCUCCGACUGCAGCCCCCUGCAGGGUGUAAGCUCCACAGGGUCAGCAGGGCUUCUAGCUGGCUGGAUUGGGAGCAGAGGUGUCCCUGGGCCACCUGAUCGGCUCACCUUCCCACAAGAUCCACCGGUUCCGUCCCGGCCCACAGCCCAGGGAUGUGAGCUCCAGAGGUGUGGGCCUGGGUCCAGUCCUGGCUCUCAGGCACCCUCCAGGGGCAGUUCUCCAGGGUCCACUAGGGCCUCCGAGAGAGAUGCUCUUCCGAGGUGACCACUGGGGACUCGACUUAUGGAAGCGCUGGCCCGUGCACACUUCACUGCGUCACCGUCCUCCAGGGCCGCAGUGACAGCGCCAUCGUCUGUGGAGUCUCCCCCUGCGGCCGGCCCCAGCGAAGCACCUUGUCCCAGUAAGUCGACCAGCUCAUGUGUCCAUGGCUGGACAUCGCAGGCGUGUCC
This is a long non-coding RNA of Molossus molossus (Pallas's mastiff bat), 863 nucleotides long. RefSeq lists it as uncharacterized. NCBI's taxonomy places the organism in Eukaryota, Metazoa, Chordata, Mammalia, Chiroptera, Molossidae. The record is from RefSeq and is a predicted model, not a curated record. The transcript has 3 exons.